RNAcentral lists this transfer RNA (57 nucleotides) under Ixodes scapularis (black-legged tick). The record is from Rfam by way of RNAcentral. Lineage: Eukaryota; Metazoa; Arthropoda; Arachnida; Ixodida; Ixodidae.
UCCUGGUUAGCUCAGUUGGUAGAGCACUCCACUGUAAAUGGAGAGGUGGACCUGGUG